AGUAAGAUUCUUGGUGCCAAGAUAUCUGAAGUAAAACUUUAAAGACAAUUGUACUGGCUCUCCUUCUUAAUUACCUCCAGCCAGGGGCUAUUAUAGACUAAGUUCAGAAUGAUGCUGACCAGAUCCAGGAUCCAAACAAAUGUUGCCUGAGAAUUUUAAGGAACACCAGGUAGCACUGCUGGUUAAAGUGCAGUCAUGCUGGUCCCUAGCAUAUACAUUU
Telopea speciosissima is the source of this 220-nucleotide long non-coding RNA. RefSeq lists it as uncharacterized. The transcript has 3 exons. Lineage: Eukaryota; Viridiplantae; Streptophyta; Magnoliopsida; Proteales; Proteaceae. The record is from RefSeq and is a predicted model, not a curated record.